RNAcentral lists this transfer RNA (68 nucleotides) under Chelodina expansa. Its description in RNAcentral is "tRNA-Gly". Lineage: Eukaryota; Metazoa; Chordata; Testudines; Chelidae. The record is from RNAcentral.
GUUCGCCUAGUAUAUUAGUACAAGUGACUUCCAAUCACUAAGUUUUAGACAUCGACUAAAGGCGAAUA